Long non-coding RNA from Humulus lupulus (European hop), 737 nucleotides. RefSeq lists it as uncharacterized. The record is from RefSeq and is a predicted model, not a curated record. The transcript is spliced from 2 exons. NCBI's taxonomy places the organism in Eukaryota, Viridiplantae, Streptophyta, Magnoliopsida, Rosales, Cannabaceae.
ACAAGGGAACAGACAUAAUUUUAUUUUAUAAGGAAAAUGAUUAUUUAAUUAGUUAAGUGAAAGUUAAAACUAACACUCUUUUUCUAUGGAAAAACGACAUGAAACAUUUGAGAGGAAACCAUAGUUCAAAGUUAAUACGACAUGUCGUUAAUGCAGAGGAAUAUAUAUGGAGAGCGUGAAAAUGGCUCGAACAGUGAUCGAGAGAGAAUAAGAGAGAGAUGGGAGUAGCGAGCAAGGCAGGGGAUUGGGCAUUCAAAGCUUUUACGGCGAGCCUCGGCGUGGUAACCGUUUAUCUCACCGCCACUUUCUCCGUCAAUGUUUACAAAGGCCUUGCUUGGCACAAAGCUCAAUCGAAAAUCAACAAUCAGGAUUCUAACGAGGAACCACAAUGAUGUUAAAUCAACAAUCAGGGUUCGAACUUUGAAUUUACAGCAUUUAUGUUUUUUCUGUACGAGUACAAGUAUGAAUUAUAUUUUAGGUUUAAAAACCUCUGUUAAUCUACUUGGUUCAAUUUUAUGAUGAUUUGAGAUCCUUGGUUCAAUAUGUAGACUCGAGUGUAGUUCGAGUUCAUUUUUUUUAAUUUCACAUGAUAUUUUUUUGUCCAUGGAAAUAAGUUUGUUUCUUUAUGAGAGAAAAAGAAUAUUUUUUUUUAUUGUUAGAGUUGGAGAGUGCAGUGCUCCGUAAAGCAUAUCAUCCAUUAUUGUGUACACUUAUAUGAAUGUUAAUUUUUUUCUGAG